GGGUGGUAAUGCCGGAUGCUCCAGUUGGAUGCAUGUUCUUCUGGGAAAGAUUCAUCGGUAUGGGAUGGGGUCGCGUCCUAUCAGCUUGAUGGCGGGGUAACGGCCCACCAUGGCUUCGACGGGUAGCCGGCCUGAGAGGGCGACCGGCCACAUUGGGACUGAGAUACGGCCCAGACUCCUACGGGAGGCAGCAGUGGGGAAUAUUGCACAAUGGGCGCAAGCCUGAUGCAGCGACGCCGCGUGCGGGAUGACGGCCUUCGGGUUGUAAACCGCUUUUGACUGGGAGCAAGCCCUUCGGGGUGAGUGUACCUUUCGAAUAAGCACCGGCUAACUACGUGCCAGCAGCCGCGGUAAUACGUAGGGUGCAAGCGUUAUCCGGAAUUAUUGGGCGUAAAGGGCUCGUAGGCGGUUCGUCGCGUCCGGUGUGAAAGUCCAUCGCUUAACGGUGGAUCCGCGCCGGGUACGGGCGGGCUUGAGUGCGGUAGGGGAGACUGGAAUUCCCGGUGUAACGGUGGAAUGUGUAGAUAUCGGAAAAAAAAC
RNAcentral lists this ribosomal RNA (540 nucleotides) under Bifidobacterium adolescentis. Its description in RNAcentral is "bacterial SSU rRNA". It matches the Rfam family "Bacterial small subunit ribosomal RNA", at positions 158 to 709 of the family's 1533-position model. The record is from RNAcentral. Lineage: Bacteria; Bacillati; Actinomycetota; Actinomycetes; Bifidobacteriales; Bifidobacteriaceae.